AGGAUAAGUGAUCAUAACUGUCAGUGUAUGAGACUUAAAUAAUGAUUAACAUGUAUCUCAAACCCUGAGGCUCAA
Molecule: small nucleolar RNA, 75 nt
Organism: Rattus norvegicus (Norway rat)
Lineage: Eukaryota; Metazoa; Chordata; Mammalia; Rodentia; Muridae
Gene: Snord113l5
Product: small nucleolar RNA, C/D box 113 like 5
Source: Ensembl